This 1933-nucleotide ribosomal RNA is filed under the name human gut metagenome. RNAcentral describes it as "bacterial LSU rRNA". It matches the Rfam family "Bacterial large subunit ribosomal RNA", at positions 589 to 2508 of the family's 2925-position model. The record is from RNAcentral.
AAGGGUGACUGCGUACCUUUUGUAUAAUGGGUCAGCGACUUAUAUUUUGUAGCGAGGUUAACCGAAUAGGGGAGCCGAAGGGAAACCGAGUCUUAACUGGGCGUCUAGUUGCAAGGUAUAGACCCGAAACCCGGUGAUCUAGCCAUGGGCAGGUUGAAGGUUGGGUAACACUAACUGGAGGACCGAACCGACUAAUGUUGAAAAAUUAGCGGAUGACUUGUGGCUGGGGGUGAAAGGCCAAUCAAACCGGGAGAUAGCUGGUUCUCCCCGAAAUCUAUUUAGGUAGAGCCUUGAGCGGACACCUUCGGGGGUAGAGCACUGUUUCGGCUAGGGGUCCAUCCCGGAUUACCAACCCGAUGCAAACUACGAAUACCGAAGAGUGAUACUCAGGAGACACACGGCGGGUGCUAACGUCCGUCGUGGAGAGGGAAACAACCCAGACCGCCAGCUAAGGUCCCAAAGUCUAUAUUAAGUGGGAAACGAAGUGGGAAGGCUUAGACAGCUAGGAUGUUGGCUUAGAAGCAGCCAUCAUUUAAAGAAAGCGUAAUAGCUCACUAGUCGAGUCGGCCUGCGCGGAAGAUGUAACGGGGCUCAAAUAUAGCACCGAAGCUGCGGCAUCAGACGAAAGUCUGUUGGGUAGGGGAGCGUUCUGUAAGCGGAUGAAGGUGGCUCGAGAGGGCUGUUGGACGUAUCAGAAGUGCGAAUGCUGACAUAAGUAACGAUAAAACGGGUGAAAAACCCGUUCGCCGGAAGACCAAGGGUUCCUGUCCAACGUUAAUCGGGGCAGGGUGAGUCGGCCCCUAAGGCGAGGCUGAAAAGCGUAGUCGAUGGGAAACGGGUUAAUAUUCCCGUACUUGGAUAAACUGCGAUGUGGGGACGGAGCAGGUUAGGUUAUCGCACUGUUGGAUAUGUGCGUUUAAGUUUGUAGGUGGGAAGUUUAGGCAAAUCCGGACUUCUAUAACACUGAGAGGUGAUGACGAGGCUCUACGGAGCUGAAGUAACCGAUACCACACUUCCAGGAAAAGCCACUAAGCUUCAGGUUUAUCUAAACCGUACUGAAAACCGACACAGGUGGUCAGGUAGAGAAUACUCAGGCGCUUGAGAGAACUCGGGUGAAGGAACUAGGCAAAAUAGCACCGUAACUUCGGGAGAAGGUGCGCCGGCGUAGAUUGUAGUCCCUAGCGGGCGAAGGUUGAACCGGUCGAAGAUACCAGCUGGCUGCAACUGUUUAUUAAAAACACAGCACUCUGCAAACACGAAAGUGGACGUAUAGGGUGUGAUGCCUGCCCGGUGCUGGAAGGUUAAUUGAUGGUGUAAUCGAAAGAGAAGCUCCUGAUCGAAGCCCCAGUAAACGGCGGCCGUAACUAUAACGGUCCUAAGGUAGCGAAAUUCCUUGUCGGGUAAGUUCCGACCUGCACGAAUGGCAUAAUGAUGGCCAGGCUGUCUCCACCCGAGACUCAGUGAAAUUGAAAUCGCCGUGAAGAUGCGGUGUACCCGCGGCUAGACGGAAAGACCCCGUGAACCUUUACUAUAGCUUGACACUGAACAUUGAAUUUUGAUGUGUAGGAUAGGUGGGAGACUUUGAAGUAGUCACGCCAGUGAUUAUGGAGUCGUCCUUGAAAUACCACCCUUUAACGUUUGAUGUUCUAACGAAGAUUACGAAACGUGGUCUCGGACAGUGUCUGGUGGGUAGUUUGACUGGGGCGGUCUCCUCCCAAAGAGUAACGGAGGAGCACGAAGGUUUGCUAAUGACGGUCGGACAUCGUCAGGUUAGUGCAAUGGUAUAAGCAAGCUUAACUGCGAGACAGACAAGUCGAGCAGGUACGAAAGUAGGUCAUAGUGAUCCGGUGGUUCUGAAUGGAAGGGCCAUCGCUCAACGGAUAAAAGGUACUCCGGGGAUAACAGGCUGAUACCGCCCAAGAGUUCAUAUCGA